AACCUUGCGCAGUGGCAGUAUUAUAGAUUAUGAGAUUCAUCUGACGUGUGAUUAUUGCUAGUUGAAAACUUUACCCAAUACCCUGCCUUGAUGAUUUGAAAUAAAAUCGUCAAAGGCAAAUUCUGACAGUCUCUAUGGAGA
This 141-nucleotide small nuclear RNA is filed under the name Nothobranchius furzeri (turquoise killifish). Its description in RNAcentral is "U4 spliceosomal RNA (ENSNFUG00015021817.1)". It matches the Rfam family "U4 spliceosomal RNA". Rfam says of the family: U4 small nuclear RNA (U4 snRNA) is a component of the major U2-dependent spliceosome. The structure of U4 snRNA from yeast and human has been reported. U4 snRNA presents a k-turn RNA motif in the 5p-SL related to recognition of Snu13 protein. Lineage: Eukaryota; Metazoa; Chordata; Actinopteri; Cyprinodontiformes; Nothobranchiidae. The record is from Rfam by way of RNAcentral.